Molecule: ribosomal RNA, 254 nt
Filed under: uncultured bacterium
Lineage: Bacteria
Description: partial 16S ribosomal RNA
Rfam family: Bacterial small subunit ribosomal RNA
Source: RNAcentral
UACGUAGGCAGCAAGCGUUGUUCGGAGUUACUGGGCGUAAAGGGUGUGUAGGCGGUUGGAUAAGUGUGGUGUGAAAUCUCCCGGCUCAACUGGGAGGGUGCGCUACAAACUGUCUGACUAGAGUAUGGCAGAGGGGGGUAGAAUUCCACGUGUAGCAGUGAAAUGCGUAGAGAUGUGGAGGAAUACCGAUGGCGAAGGCAGCCCCCUGGGCCAAUACUGACGCUCAUGCACGAAAGCGUGGGGGAGCAAACAGG